AGUGAACGCUGGCGGUAGGCCUAACACAUGCAAGUCGAACGGCAGCACAGUAAGAGCUUGCUCUUACGGGUGGCGAGUGGCGGACGGGUGAGGAAUACAUCGGAAUCUACUUUUUCGUGUGGGAUAACGUAGGGAAACUUACGCUAAUACCGCAUACGACCUACGGGUGAAAGCAGGGGAUCUUCGGACCUUGCGCGAUUGAAUGAGCCGAUGUCGGAUUAGCUAGUUGGCGGGGUAAAGGCCCACCAAGGCGACGAUUCGUAGCUGGUCUGAGAGGAUGGUAGCCCACCCUGGAGCUUAGCCACGGUCCAUGCUACUACGGGACGGCGCAGUGGCGUAUAGUGGACAAUAGGGGGGAGCAUGGUCCAGCCAGCCCGAGUGUGUGGCGGAGGCCUUCGGGUUGUAAAGCCGUUUUGUUGGGAAAGAACAGCUGCCGCUUAAUACCCAGCUGUUCUGACGGUAACCAAAGAAUAAGCACCGGCUAACUUCGUG
Molecule: ribosomal RNA, 492 nt
Filed under: uncultured bacterium
Lineage: Bacteria
Description: partial 16S ribosomal RNA
Rfam family: Bacterial small subunit ribosomal RNA
Source: RNAcentral